UACAGAGACUGCAAGCGUUAAUCGGAAUUACUGGGCGUAAAGCGUGCGCAGGCGGUUUUGUAAGUCUGUCGUGAAAUCCCCCGGGCUUAACCUGGGAAUUGCGAUGGAGACUGCAAGGCUAGAAUCUGGCAGAGGGGGUAGAAUUCCACGUGUAGCAGUGAAAUGCGUAGAGAUGUGGAGGAACACCGAUGGCGAAGGCAGCCCCUGGGUCAAGAUUGACGCUCAUGCA
This 229-nucleotide ribosomal RNA is filed under the name uncultured bacterium. RNAcentral's name for it is "partial 16S ribosomal RNA". It matches the Rfam family "Bacterial small subunit ribosomal RNA", at positions 524 to 753 of the family's 1533-position model. The record is from RNAcentral.